GACGAACGCUGGCGGCGUGCCUAAUACAUGCAAGUCGAACGCAGUGGGGACGGGUGAGUAACACGUGGGUAACCUCCCAUCAGAGGGGAUAACACUUGGAAACAGGUGCUAAACCGAUACUGAUGGAUGGACACGAGGUGCAUUAGCUAGUUGGUGAGGUAACGGCUCACCAAGGCCACGAGGCAUAGCCGACCUGAGAGGGUGAUCGGCCGAACGGGGACUGAGACACGGCCCAGACGCCUACGGUAGGCAGCAUUAGGGAAGCUGCGGAAAUGGACGAAAGUCUGACCGAGCAACGCCGCGUGAGUGAAGAAGGGUUUCGGAUCGUAAAGCUCUGUUGUUAGAGAAGCGGUAUCUAACCAGAAAGCCACGGCUAACUACGUGCCAGCAGCCGCGGUAAUUC
Molecule: ribosomal RNA, 403 nt
Filed under: uncultured bacterium
Lineage: Bacteria
Description: partial 16S ribosomal RNA
Rfam family: Bacterial small subunit ribosomal RNA
Source: RNAcentral